Molecule: long non-coding RNA, 805 nt
Filed under: Lathyrus oleraceus (garden pea)
Lineage: Eukaryota; Viridiplantae; Streptophyta; Magnoliopsida; Fabales; Fabaceae
Description: Pisum sativum (pea) long non-coding RNA (PSAT_LNC021762)
Source: RNAcentral
UGAAGAUGUUUAACACAAAUGAAUGAAUAGUUGUGAUGGAAUGCAUAACUAUUAAUCUCUAAUUAAUCUAUGUAAUAUGGCUGAAUUGAAUAACACGAUGAUAUAUUCAAAAUCAAUCAAGAGAGAAUAAGAAACUCAAUAGUAUUAUCUGUUAUCUUAUUUCAUUUUAUAACCAUCACCUUAUAUUAUAAAGAAAUAUCUAUAUGGUUUUUGAAAUUAUUAAAAGAAAAAAAUACAAAUUAUUUUGUGCUAACAAAAUAACUAAAUGACAACUCAUGGAAUAUUCUAACAGUGCUAUUUUCUUGAGUUCCUCACUAAAUAAGUAAUCAUAUAGGAACUCGUAUACAUCUACAUAUAUUAUUCUUACAUAUCGGCAUCAUACCAUCGGGGCAUAUAUCGUAUGAACAAUCAUCAUCGCUAACGCAUUUAUAAGCCACUGUGAUAAAAAAGAAUAUAAUUAAAUUGAAAUAAAAAAUUGAAUAAUAAUUAAGGAAAAAUAUUUGAAAGAAUAAAAAUUGCUUACUGUUAUCGUUCAUUUCAACAAGGAUUAUGCAGAGAAAAAUAAUCAAAACAUAAACAAAUUUAACAAUUCCUGCCAUAUUUCUUUUGUUUGUAUGUUACAAAUGUUUUUAUCGGUUUAUAAUUUAUGUAUCCUACUCUCUCCUUGUAUCAAUUAUAAUCAUUAUUAAAUGUCUCUUCAGUAUAUAUCAAUUUAUUGUGUCCGUCUCUUUAGCAAAGUAAAAAAGAAAUCACAUAAAAAAACAUAUCAAUCGUGUAAGUUCAUUAUUUAUUAUUACUUGAUUCC